UUUUUUUAAUUAAAAAAUAUAGGGACCGUUCGAUUAUUUGUGAAUUUAGGUUUGGUUUCAGAUUAAUUAGUUUAGCUCUCAGUUUGAUUGGGAUAAAAAUAUUAAAAAUUCGAUAAAGUUUUGAGUUUAAUUUGAUGUUGGUUCGGUACCUAUUUUUUGGAUAAUACGGUUAAAAAUCACAUUUUUGUAUUUUUAGAACAAAAUCGACUAAAUUCAAAUAUUUAACAUAUAAUAUUCU
Molecule: long non-coding RNA, 238 nt
Filed under: Brassica napus (rape)
Lineage: Eukaryota; Viridiplantae; Streptophyta; Magnoliopsida; Brassicales; Brassicaceae
Description: long non-coding RNA (BNAP_LNC024922)
Source: RNAcentral